GACAGAGGGUGCAAACGUUGUUCGGAAUUACUGGGCGUAAAGCGAGUGUAGGCGGUCUCAUAAGUCGGGUGUGAAAGCCCUGGGCUCAACCCAGGAAGUGCACUCGAUACUGCGAGGCUAGAGUAUCGGAGAGGUUGGUGGAAUUCUCGGUGUAGAGGUGAAAUGCGUAGAUAUCGGGAGGAACACCAGUGGCGAAGGCGACUACCUGGCCUGUUCUUGACGCUGAGGCGCGAAAGCUAGGGGAGCAAACGGG
Molecule: ribosomal RNA, 253 nt
Filed under: uncultured bacterium
Lineage: Bacteria
Description: partial 16S ribosomal RNA
Rfam family: Bacterial small subunit ribosomal RNA
Source: RNAcentral